Bradysia coprophila is the source of this 522-nucleotide long non-coding RNA. NCBI's taxonomy places the organism in Eukaryota, Metazoa, Arthropoda, Insecta, Diptera, Sciaridae. The record is from RefSeq and is a predicted model, not a curated record.
UAUUGAAAGUAGGUAACGUUUUCGGCACUUUUUCCGGGGGGUAGCAGCAGAGCUACCUUGAUGAGUUUCUUGUCAAUUCGUAACUCAUUAUGCAAGUAGUCAGCCAGAUAUCGGCUGAAAUGUCUUUACCAACAUUGGACACCACCACGCUCCUUAGAGAUAGGUCAUUGGACGCAUUCGAUGCAAUUAAACGUUGGGGAUCAACACUGGAUCUAAUGGCUGAUUGUUCAGUGGAGAACGAGUUUCAUCAACGUCUUUUACAGAAGACGCUUUCGGCUUGGCAUGUGACUUGACUAUGGCCUAUGGGUGAAGAAUUCACAGCAAUCGGGUGCUGUAUCAUGCUCAAUGUACUAAUCGCUCCGAUAAACGUAUCCAUCAGCGUCUUAAAGUUGUUGAUGAAUUUCGACAAGUCGCCAGACAACGAACUUGACAAAGCUCCAAUCGCUUCAUUCAUACGAUCAAUUGAUGCAGCUACACCUCUGUGUUUCCAGCAUUGCAUUCGUUGCAAAACCAGUGAAUAUU